Nomascus leucogenys (northern white-cheeked gibbon) is the source of this 309-nucleotide unclassified non-coding RNA. Its record names the gene 7SK. It matches the Rfam family "7SK RNA". Rfam says of the family: 7SK was discovered as an abundant small nuclear RNA in the mid-70s but a possible function has only recently been suggested. The record is from Ensembl. Lineage: Eukaryota; Metazoa; Chordata; Mammalia; Primates; Hylobatidae.
GGAUGUGAGGGCAAUCUGGCUGUGACAUCUGUCACCCCACUAAUCGCCAGGGUUGAUUCGGCUGAUCUGGCUGGCUAGGUGGGUGUCCCCUUCCUCCCUCACCACUCUGUGUGUGUCCCUCCUGAAGCUGCGCACUCGGUCGAAGAGGACAACCAUCCCCGAUAAAGGAGGACUGGUCUUCAGUCAAGGGUAUACAAGUAGCUGCGCUCCCCUGCUAGAACCUUCAAAGAAGCUUUCAAAAUAAUGUAGAAGAGCGACAAUAUUUAUUAAUAUGUAUUUAAUAAAUAUAUUUUUUGGUUAAAAUAAUAU